Molecule: signal recognition particle RNA, 294 nt
Filed under: Phascolarctos cinereus (koala)
Lineage: Eukaryota; Metazoa; Chordata; Mammalia; Diprotodontia; Phascolarctidae
Description: Metazoan signal recognition particle RNA (ENSPCIG00000011872.2)
Rfam family: Metazoan signal recognition particle RNA
About the family: The signal recognition particle (SRP) is a universally conserved ribonucleoprotein.
Source: Rfam by way of RNAcentral
CCUAAGGGUGUUGGAAUACACCUGUAAUCCUAGUUAAGGGGGGGGGGAGGCUGAAGCUGGCAGGUCUCUUAAACUGGGGUGUUCUGAUCUGUAGUGAGCUAACCUAACUGGGUAUCCUCACUGUGUUAAGCAUUAAUAUGGUGAGCCCUCAGGAGUGGGAGGCCACCAGAUUGCCUAAGGAGGGCAAAGCAGCCCAAGUCAGAAACAGAGCAGGCCAAAGCCACCAUGCCCAUCAAUAGUGGGAUCAGGCUGGUGAGAGGCCAAUGCACUUCUAGCCUAGGCAAAAGAUUUUUU